AUUGAACGCUGGCGGCAGGCCUAACACAUGCAAGUCGAGCGAGCAGCGGCCGGGUAAGUACUGUUUGGUAAACAGCCUGUUGGCGGGGGACACCUACUGGAAACGGUAGCUAAUACAGCAUACCAUCAGAUCUGCCCAGAGUGGCUUAGCUAGUAGGUGGGGCAACGGCUUACCUAGGCGACGAGCCCUAGCCUGUCUGAGAGGAUGACCAGCCACACUGGAACUGAGACACGGUCCAGACUCCGACGGGAGGCAGCAGUAGGGAAUAUUGCACAAUGGGCGAAAGCCUGAUGCAGCAAUGCCGCGUGUGUGAAGAAGGCUUUCGGGUUGUAAAGCACUGUCAGCGGGGAGGCGUUACCCGAAGAAAAAGCACCGGCUAACUACGUGCCAGCAGCCGCGGUAAUAC
This 406-nucleotide ribosomal RNA is filed under the name uncultured bacterium. Its description in RNAcentral is "partial 16S ribosomal RNA". It matches the Rfam family "Bacterial small subunit ribosomal RNA", at positions 30 to 526 of the family's 1533-position model. The record is from RNAcentral.